UCGGGAAUUUUGGGCAAUGGGCGAAAGCCUGACCCAGCAACGCCGCGUGAGGGAUGAAGUAUUUCGGUAUGUAAACCUCGAAAGAAUGGGAAGAAUAAAUGACGGUACCAUUUAUAAGCUCCGGCUAACUACGUGCCAGCAGCCGCGGUAAUACGUAGGGAGCAAGCGUUGUUCGGAUUUACUGGGCGUAAAGGGCGCGUAGGCGGCGCGGUAAGUCACUUGUGAAAUCUCUGAGCUUAACUCAGAACGGCCAAGUGAUACUGCUGUGCUAGAGUGCGGAAGAGGCAACCGGAAUUCUUGGUGUAGCUGUGAAAUGCGUAGAUAUCAAGAGGAACACCUGAGGCGAAGGCGGGUUGCUGGGCCGACACUGACGCUGAUGCGCGAAAGCCAGGGGAGCAAACG
RNAcentral lists this ribosomal RNA (402 nucleotides) under uncultured bacterium. Its description in RNAcentral is "bacterial SSU rRNA". It matches the Rfam family "Bacterial small subunit ribosomal RNA", at positions 355 to 774 of the family's 1533-position model. The record is from RNAcentral.